Molecule: ribosomal RNA, 116 nt
Filed under: Bemisia afer
Lineage: Eukaryota; Metazoa; Arthropoda; Insecta; Hemiptera; Aleyrodidae
Description: partial 16S ribosomal RNA
Source: RNAcentral
AAGAAUUCAUCGGUCGAACAGACCGUUUUCUAUAAAUUCUUCUUUAUAGAGUAUUCUUAAUCCAACAUCGAGGUCGUAAUUUAUUUUAUCAAUGGGAUCUUUCUAAAAAUUUUACG